Molecule: ribosomal RNA, 1295 nt
Filed under: Arthrobacter sp. FMS_60mD2
Lineage: Bacteria; Bacillati; Actinomycetota; Actinomycetes; Micrococcales; Micrococcaceae
Description: bacterial SSU rRNA
Rfam family: Bacterial small subunit ribosomal RNA
Source: RNAcentral
UAGUGGCGAACGGGUGAGUAACACGUGAGUAACCUGCCCUUGACUCUGGGAUAAGCCUGGGAAACUGGGUCUAAUACCGGAUAUGACCUUCCAUCGCAUGGUGGUUGGUGGAAAGCUUUUGUGGUUUUGGAUGGACUCGCGGCCUAUCAGCUUGUUGGUGGGGUAAUGGCCUACCAAGGCGACGACGGGUAGCCGGCCUGAGAGGGUGACCGGCCACACUGGGACUGAGACACGGCCCAGACUCCUACGGGAGGCAGCAGUGGGGAAUAUUGCACAAUGGGCGCAAGCCUGAUGCAGCGACGCCGCGUGAGGGAUGACGGCCUUCGGGUUGUAAACCUCUUUCAGUAGGGAAGAAGCGAAAGUGACGGUACCUGCAGAAGAAGCGCCGGCUAACUACGUGCCAGCAGCCGCGGUAAUACGUAGGGCGCAAGCGUUAUCCGGAAUUAUUGGGCGUAAAGAGCUCGUAGGCGGUUUGUCGCGUCUGCCGUGAAAGUCCGGGGCUCAACUCCGGAUCUGCGGUGGGUACGGGCAGACUAGAGUGAUGUAGGGGAGACUGGAAUUCCUGGUGUAGCGGUGAAAUGCGCAGAUAUCAGGAGGAACACCGAUGGCGAAGGCAGGUCUCUGGGCAUUAACUGACGCUGAGGAGCGAAAGCAUGGGGAGCGAACAGGAUUAGAUACCCUGGUAGUCCAUGCCGUAAACGUUGGGCACUAGGUGUGGGGGACAUUCCACGUUUUCCGCGCCGUAGCUAACGCAUUAAGUGCCCCGCCUGGGGAGUACGGCCGCAAGGCUAAAACUCAAAGGAAUUGACGGGGGCCCGCACAAGCGGCGGAGCAUGCGGAUUAAUUCGAUGCAACGCGAAGAACCUUACCAAGGCUUGACAUGGACCGGACCGCCGCAGAAAUGUGGUUUCCCCUUUGGGGCCGGUUUACAGGUGGUGCAUGGUUGUCGUCAGCUCGUGUCGUGAGAUGUUGGGUUAAGUCCCGCAACGAGCGCAACCCUCGUUCUAUGUUGCCAGCGGUUCGGCCGGGGACUCAUAGGAGACUGCCGGGGUCAACUCGGAGGAAGGUGGGGACGACGUCAAAUCAUCAUGCCCCUUAUGUCUUGGGCUUCACGCAUGCUACAAUGGCCGGUACAAAGGGUUGCGAUACUGUGAGGUGGAGCUAAUCCCAAAAAGCCGGUCUCAGUUCGGAUUGGGGUCUGCAACUCGACCCCAUGAAGUCGGAGUCGCUAGUAAUCGCAGAUCAGCAACGCUGCGGUGAAUACGUUCCCGGGCCUUGUACACACCGCCCGUCAA